RNAcentral lists this ribosomal RNA (865 nucleotides) under Colletotrichum lupini. RNAcentral's name for it is "SSU rRNA". It matches the Rfam family "Eukaryotic small subunit ribosomal RNA", at positions 573 to 1466 of the family's 1831-position model. Lineage: Eukaryota; Fungi; Ascomycota; Sordariomycetes; Glomerellales; Glomerellaceae. The record is from RNAcentral.
GACGCGUAAUUCCCGCUCGCAAUCGCGUAUAAUAAAGUUGUUGUGGUUAAAAAGCUCGUAGUUGAACCUUGGGCCUGGCUGGCCGGUCCGCCUCACCGCGUGUACUGGUCCGGCCGGGCCUUUCCCUCUGUGGAACCCCAUGCCCUUCACUGGGUGUGGCGGGGAAACAGGACUUUUACUGUGAAAAAAUUAGAGUGCUCCAGGCAGGCCUAUGCUCGAAUACAUUAGCAUGGAAUAAUAGAAUAGGACGUGUGGUUCUAUUUUGUUGGUUUCUAGGACCGCCGUAAUGAUUAAUAGGGACAGUCGGGGGCAUCAGUAUUCAAUUGUCAGAGGUGAAAUUCUUGGAUUUAUUGAAGACUAACUACUGCGAAAGCAUUUGCCAAGGAUGUUUUCAUUAAUCAGGAACGAAAGUUAGGGGAUCGAAGACGAUCAGAUACCGUCGUAGUCUUAACCAUAAACUAUGCCGACUAGGGAUCGGACGGUGUUAUUUUUUGACCCGUUCGGCACCUUACGAGAAAUCAAAGUGCUUGGGCUCCAGGGGGAGUAUGGUCGCAAGGCUGAAACUUAAAGAAAUUGACGGAAGGGCACCACCAGGGGUGGAGCCUGCGGCUUAAUUUGACUCAACACGGGGAAACUCACCAGGUCCAGACACAAUGAGGAUUGACAGAUUGAGAGCUCUUUCUUGAUUUUGUGGGUGGUGGUGCAUGGCCGUUCUUAGUUGGUGGAGUGAUUUGUCUGCUUAAUUGCGAUAACGAACGAGACCUUAACCUGCUAAAUAGCCCGUAUUGCUUUGGCAGUACGCUGGCUUCUUAGAGGGACUAUCGGCUCGCGCCGAUGGAAGUUUGAGGCAAUAACACGUCAUAUG